This 21-nucleotide microRNA is filed under the name Homo sapiens (human). RNAcentral describes it as "hsa-miR-6780b-3p". The record is from miRBase by way of RNAcentral. Lineage: Eukaryota; Metazoa; Chordata; Mammalia; Primates; Hominidae.
UCCCUUGUCUCCUUUCCCUAG